This 590-nucleotide ribosomal RNA is filed under the name uncultured bacterium. RNAcentral describes it as "bacterial SSU rRNA". It matches the Rfam family "Bacterial small subunit ribosomal RNA", at positions 916 to 1509 of the family's 1533-position model. The record is from RNAcentral.
GGGGCCCGCACAAGCAGCGGAGCAUGUGGUUUAAUUCGAAGCAACGCGAAGAACCUUACCUAGACUUGACAUCCCCUGCAUAACCCAGAGAUGGGCGAAGUCCUUCGGGACAGGGUGACAGGUGGUGCAUGGUUGUCGUCAGCUCGUGUCGUGAGAUGUUGGGUUAAGUCCCGCAACGAGCGCAACCCUUAUCAUUAGUUGCUACCAUUUAGUUGAGCACUCUAGUGAGACUGCCCGGGUUAACCGGGAGGAAGGUGGGGAUGACGUCAAAUCAUCAUGCCCCUUAUGUCUAGGGCUACACACGUGCUACAAUGGUGAGUACAAAGAGAUGCAAGAUCGCAAGGUGGAGCCAAACUCAAAAACUCAUCCCAGUUCGGAUUGUAGGCUGCAACUCGCCUACAUGAAGCCGGAGUUGCUAGUAAUCGCGAAUCAGCAUGUCGCGGUGAAUACGUUCCCGGGCCUUGUACACACCGCCCGUCACACCAUGAGAGUUGGUAACACCCGAAGUCCGUGAGGUAACCGUAAGGAGCCAGCGGCCGAAGGUGGGAUCGAUGAUUGGGGUGAAGUCGUAACAAGGUAACCGUAAGGGC